This 254-nucleotide ribosomal RNA is filed under the name uncultured bacterium. RNAcentral describes it as "partial 16S ribosomal RNA". It matches the Rfam family "Bacterial small subunit ribosomal RNA", at positions 524 to 776 of the family's 1533-position model. The record is from RNAcentral.
UACGGGGGGAGCAAGCGUUGUUCGGAUUUACUGGGCGUAAAGGGCGCGUAGGCGGUCAGCACAAGUCAGUUGUGAAAUCUCCGGGCUUAACUCGGAAAGGUCAACUGAUACUGUGCGACUAGAGUGCGGAAGGGGCAACUGGAAUUCUCGGUGUAGCGGUGAAAUGCGUAGAUAUCGAGAGGAACACCUGCGGCGAAGGCGGGUUGCUGGGCCGACACUGACGCUGAGGCACGAAAGCGUGGGGAUCAAACAGG